CACGCUAAAACACACGCGACUUAUAGAGCCCGGGCUCUGUAGAGACUUCCAGUUCGGGCUGGGGUGAUGGGUUGAAAAAGCGAGAAGCGUUACCUAGCUGAAAGCAAGCUGUUUUAUUCUUGGGAAAAUGCAAAGCCUUGGUGAACAAUAAGAGUUCUCAGUACAGCCCUGCGGGAUUGAAAAGAGACAGACCCUUGGGCUGACUGAAGCAAAGACCAGGGAGGCACUCUUAAAGGAACAGGGCAAACCUGCCUGUGGGAAGCGAUUGUGGACACAGCAAAAACCAGCAUCGGGUUAUUGUGUGUCAACUGUGGAUUUCUUCACCUCUCAAGUCUCACCCCGCCCCCGCCCGAUUUUCACGAUGUAUAAAAUGGAGGGCUUUUUGUAUGAUGGCGACUUUUAAAAGUGCAGGCUGUGGUGACUGUGGCUUGGAUGGCCUUGAGGACCACUGGUCGACCUCUCAUCAGCUGGACAGCACAGGUUGGUUCCACUGAUGUAGAUCAACUUCUGUGCAGACUACUGAUGUCU
Molecule: long non-coding RNA, 528 nt
Organism: Mesocricetus auratus (golden hamster)
Lineage: Eukaryota; Metazoa; Chordata; Mammalia; Rodentia; Cricetidae
Exons: 3
Source: RefSeq, a predicted model, not a curated record